ACCGUUUUAGAAACAUCAGUGGCCAACGGUCGUCAGGAUCGUUGAGCUGCAUUGGCGGGAUUUCGCCGUCUUCGUUUCUCUUUCUUCGCGGACGAACACAGCGCUGGGGCUGCAACCUUGCAGAAUCCCUGGUCCUUGACUGGAUAUGCGUUAGGGGCUUGUAGCUCAGUUGGUUAGAGCGCGCGCUUGAUAAGCGUGAGGUCGGAAGUUCAAGUCUUCCCAGGCCCACCACACUCAUCGAGUGAGCAUUCGUCUUCUGGUUACGGGGCCAUAGCUCAGCUGGGAGAGCGCGUGCUUUGCAAGCAUGAGGUCGUCGGUUCGAUCCCGUCUGGCUCCACCAGAUGGUUUGAUCACCGACUACUCAUACCGUCGUCCGCGAAACAUCACUUCGCACUUGCUAGUCCGGAUGGACAGUAAGCUGCGUGAUUUCUGACAUCGUAAAGAGGAGAUCGAUCCGAGUUGGAUCGGGCAACAAGUAAUUGUUGCGCGAUACUUCAUUAUCUCCGGAUCAUUUCGGCGCUCGUGCGUCUUCCAGGGGAGCUCACAAGGCUGCGUCUGAAGGACACGCGAGUUGUAAAUGAUCCUUUUAGCGAAGCUUGACCGCCUCGCUAUCGGAACGAUCUUACGAAGCAAGCUGGUCUUUCUAAUCAUUGUCCGGCUGCAGAUAGCGUUCAUCGAGGGCGCGUGCCUUAGAGACUUAGGUUUCUUGGCAAUUUUGCAGACAACAUUCUGCCGAGUGUGUGGACAUUGAUAAUGAGAGCAAUCAA
This 767-nucleotide transfer RNA is filed under the name Bradyrhizobium canariense. RNAcentral describes it as "partial miscellaneous RNA". The stretch from base 155 to 228 matches the Rfam family "tRNA". The record is from RNAcentral. Lineage: Bacteria; Pseudomonadati; Pseudomonadota; Alphaproteobacteria; Hyphomicrobiales; Nitrobacteraceae.